ACGGCACUUCCCCAACAUCCCCUUCCAAAUUUAUAUGGAGCCUUCAAAAACACAUGGAGCAACUGCGAAAAGAAAUGGCUGAAGUUCAACAAAGCCAACAACUGCUUCAUGUGGGCCACUGAUAAAGAACCUGGAUGUGGCCCAAAGACUGACUGGAUUGAAUGUUUUGCCUGCCAACGGUGGUUCCAUGUGCUGUGCCUAGGAAUGAAGACAAAAGAGUUCAAAAGAGUAAACACAAACUAGAAGUGCAGUCUUUGUUGUUGAAAUUGUAUGCUAUACCCCAUCCACACUGAAGAGGAUCUGAAAUGUACAUCAACCAGGGAUAAAGAGAAAGUUAACACUGAAAUGUUUCAUUCUUAUUUGAAGUUAAGUGUCUGACAUGUUG
Long non-coding RNA from Oncorhynchus tshawytscha (Chinook salmon), 385 nucleotides. Lineage: Eukaryota; Metazoa; Chordata; Actinopteri; Salmoniformes; Salmonidae. The record is from Ensembl.